GGGGUUGUAGUUCAGUGGUAGAACCCUUGCCUAGCAUGUGAGAGACACUCGGUUCUAUCCUCAGCACCA
Molecule: transfer RNA, 69 nt
Filed under: Marmota monax (woodchuck)
Lineage: Eukaryota; Metazoa; Chordata; Mammalia; Rodentia; Sciuridae
Description: tRNA.Ala
Source: RNAcentral